GCGGCGCCGCGGGGCCUUAGCGGACGGAGGGGAGCGCGGGGGUCACCGGGCCGGGCCGGCAGCCCUAGAGCUCGGCCUGGCGGGGACCCUGGGCCAGCCCCGCGCCUCCGUGGCCCGGGCGUCUCGUGCGUGUCCGCGAACUCGCGUGCGCGCGUCACCUCGGACCGCAGCAUGGCUCGGAGGGCGGCCCUACUCGCGCCGCCCUAGUGCUGCGAAGGGCCUCGGAGCCCAAACCCGGAACCGCCAUCUGGGACUGGGAAGACGACAUGGCCAGAAGCCGGUAAUGUUCCUUUCCCUGGGGGCAGUGCAUUAAAAUGGACCAUUUCACGUGUGCUGGUCUUGUGUGUUGUUGCCUGCGCUAACUUACACGAAGUGGCAACAGGAACAGGCAGCGCAGCACCCGAGCGCCGGGUGGAGAGGCCGGCCGAGCCCGGGGAAAGCGACCUUACUCUGUCACCUGGGCUGGAGUGCAGUGGCGCAAAUUAAAGUGUGCAGUUUGAUACAUCUUGACACAUGUAUACACUGUGAAACCAUCAUCACAAUCAACAGUGAAGAUGUUCCUCCCGUCUCUCUGUAACCCUUUCCUCUCUCCCUCCUUCCCUCCUCCCCCUCCCACCCAUCUGCUUUUUGUCACUAUAGUUUGAAUUUCCUGGAGUUUUUAAAUAUCUUUUUAUACAGACUGGGUCUCGCUUGCUCUGUCACCCAGGCGGGAGUGCAGUGACACGAUCGGGACCCACUGUAGCCUCAAACUCCUGCCCUUAAGCAAUCCAACUGCUUCAGCCUCCCGAGUAGCUGAGACUGCAGGUGAGGACCGCCAUGUCUAGCUUUUUGUUUUUUUUUAAACAUAUGGGGUCUCUCUGUGUUGCCCAGCCUGCUCUGGAACUCCUAGCUUCAAUUGACCCUCUGCCUCAGCCUCCCAAAGUGUUGGGAUUGCAGAUGUGAGCCACUGUGCCCAACCUGUUUUUCUUGGUGUUUUAUAUAAAUGGAAUUGUAUCGCACGUAAUCUUUAGGGAAGUGGGGGCUGUUCAUUGAGCAUAAUUAUGUUGGAAUUCAUCUAUAUAUUGAUAAAUAUUUUAAGUGCUUUUUAUUGCUGAGCGGUGUCUAGGAGUCAUUCUUGCUUACCCUUUCCCACUGCAGCCUUCACUCAAUCUCAUCAAAGAUCUAGCUCCAAUAUAUAAACCAAAUCCAAGCCAUUCCCACGUAUAUUACCCCUGAGCCAUGCUCUCUCACCUAGAUUACAGAUACAGCCUAGUACCUGGUCAUCCUCCAAUCAGUUUUGUCUACAGCCAUGCGAGUCUUCUCUCUAUGCCUUAAAUAAGACAAAUGUAUUCCAGCUCUUUUGAAUAUUUCCAAUUGUGAAAUGUUCCUCUUUAUUUCUAAUAAUGCUUGCUAUUGUCAACUUUGCCUCAUAUGUAAAUAACACCACCAGCUUUCUUUCCUGUGUGUACCUUUAGAGUUAAGUGAGUUUAAGAAGUGUGUGUGUGGCCGGGCGCGGUGGCUCACGCCUGUAAUGCCAGCACUUUGAGAGGCCGAGGCGGGCGGAUUACGAGGUCAGGAGAUUGAGACCAUCCUGGCUAACACGGUGAAACCCCAUCCCUACUAAAAAUACAAAAAAAAAAAAAAAAAAAACUUGGCCGGGCGUGGUGGCGGGCGUCUGUAUUCCCAGCUACUCGGGAGGCUGAGGCAGGAGAAUGGCGUGAACCCGGGAGGCGGAGCUUGCAGUGAGCCGAGAUCCCGCCACUGCACUCCAGCCUGGGCGACAGAGCGAGACUCCGUCUCAAAAAAAGAAGUGUGUGUGUAUGAUGUUUGUUUGUUUGUUUUAGGCAGAGACAGCGUCACUGCAUUCCAGCGAGGUGGAUCACACCUGUAAUCCCGGCACUUUGGGAGGCCAGGGUGGGUGGGUUGCUUGAGCUCAGGAGUUCAUGACCAGCCUGGGCGACAUGGCAAAACCCCAUCUCUAUCAAAAAUACAAAAAAACGGCCAGGUAUGGUGACGUGUGUCUGUGGUCCCAGCUACUCAGGAGGCUGAGGGGAGAGGAUCACUUGAGCCUGGGAGGUUGCUGUGAGCUGAGAUUGUAUCACUGAACUCCAGCCUGGGUGACAGAGUGAGACUGUCUCAAAAAAGCUUUAUAUAUAUUUUUAUAUAUAUGAGUAUUUUAUAUAUACACUAUAUUACAUAUAUUUAUGUAUAAAGCUAUGUAUAUUUGCAUAUAUAUAGCUGAUUUAUACAUAUAAAUAGCUUUUAGUGGUACACUUGAGAUUAUAACAUGCGUUCUUGACUUAUCAAUGUCUAAUGUAAAUUAGUAUUUUUUCCUCUUCCCAGACAAUGCUAAAACAGUUUAUUGGAUAUUUUAGUUAUUUCUGUAUUUAAAACUUCACAAGACACAGUACUGUUGAUGUUCAUUUUGAUGGCCCACAUAUAUGCCACUAUCAUUGUGUUUUAUCCUUCUGUGACUUUCUAGGGUCAUUUCCCUUCCACCUGAAGUACCCCUACUAUUAUUUCCUUUAGAGGAGGUCUGCUGAUCAUCUCAGUUGUGUUUGUCUGAAAAUAUUUGUAUUUAAUUUUUAUUCUUAAAAAAUAUUUUUUCUGAGUAUGGAAUUCUAGGUUGUCAGCUCGUUUCUUUCAACACAUUAAUGAUGUAACUCCACUGUUAUGUGCAUCCAUAUUUUCUGCUGUUUUUUGAAAUAAAUAUUUUCCUCUGACUGCGUUUAAGUGUUUCUCUGUCUUCAAUUUUCUUCAAUUUUACUAUAGUUUAUCUGGAUGUAUAUGCCUUUUUAUUCGUCUUAUUGGGAAUUGAUUAGACUUACUGAGUGUCUGGAUUGUUGUAUGUCUUCAAUUUUGGAAAAUUCUUGGCUAUUAUAUAUUCAAAUACUGCUUCUGCCCAAAUAUCUCUCUUCUAACCUACUAGAGUUUAAUUAAACAUGUGUUGGAGGCCGGGCACUGUGGCUCACACCUGUAAUCCCUACACUUUGGGAGGCCGAGGCAGGCAAAUCAUGAGGUCAGGAGUUCGAG
RNAcentral lists this long non-coding RNA (3012 nucleotides) under Homo sapiens (human). RNAcentral's name for it is "PREDICTED lncRNA (TCONS_00127820)". The record is from RNAcentral. Lineage: Eukaryota; Metazoa; Chordata; Mammalia; Primates; Hominidae.